This 492-nucleotide ribosomal RNA is filed under the name uncultured bacterium. Its description in RNAcentral is "partial 16S ribosomal RNA". It matches the Rfam family "Bacterial small subunit ribosomal RNA", at positions 29 to 507 of the family's 1533-position model. The record is from RNAcentral.
AGUGAACGCUGGCGGUAGGCCUAACACAUGCAAGUCGAACGGCAGCACAGUAAGAGCUUGCUCUUACGGGUGGCGAGUGGCGGACGGGUGAGGAAUACAUCGGAAUCUACUUUUUCGUGGGGGAUAACGUAGGGAAACUUACGCUAAUAACGCAUACGACCUACGGGUGAAAGCAGGGGAUCUUCGGACCUUGCGCGAUUGAAUGAGCCGAUGUCGGAUUAGCUAGUUGGCGGGGUAAAGGCCCACCAAGGCGACGAUCCGUAGCUGGUCUGAGAGGAUGGUCAGCCACACUGGAACUGAGACACGGUCCAGACUCCUACGGGAGGCAGCAGUGGGGAAUAUUGGACGAUGGGCGCAAGCCUGAUCCAGCCAUACCGCGUGGGUGAUGAAGGCCUUCGGGUUGUAAAGCCCUUUUGUUGGGAAAGAAAAGCAGCAGGUUAAUACCCCGCUGUUCUGACGGUACCCAAAGAAUAAGCACCGGCUAACUUCGUG